Molecule: RNA transcript, 5920 nt
Organism: Prionailurus viverrinus (fishing cat)
Lineage: Eukaryota; Metazoa; Chordata; Mammalia; Carnivora; Felidae
Exons: 4
Source: RefSeq, a predicted model, not a curated record
AAGGAUUUGGGCUGGGUCAGAACUGGAAAUGGGUAUUGGGUAGAGGUUGAAGUUUGGUGAGGACAGAGGGUGAGGUGGGGGACAGGUUUUGGUUGAGUUUGAAAGUGAGGUUCACAGGUGAUAGAGUUGGGUUGGAUUUGGAAUGAGUGCUGAGAUUUGGAAAGGGGUUGGGGAUGGUAGUGGGGAUGGUUUGGAGAUGGGAAAGAGAUAAAAUGGGAACGGGGGGUGGGGAUGUGGAGAGGUGGCAGGUGAACUGGAGGCUGGUAUUGGGGCUGGAGAUGAGGUUGUGUUGUAGGAAGUUCAUAUUUUUUAUUGAGAUUGAUCAGAGAUUUGGAGGGAGAUAGAACUGGGAUGGGCAAUGUAUGUGAGGAUGAGGAUGGUGUUGGAAUGUGGUGGGGAAGGGGUUGGAUAUCAUCAUGGGCACUGGGCAAGGUACUCCUCGCCUUGGUUCCUGAGGGAUAAAUCUCUCUGCCAUGCCUGUCAGGAUGCUGAUGAUGACGUUGGAGAAGUCCAGCACAGGUAAGUUGGAGCUGGUGAAGAAGACGAUGUUUAUGAGCAUGAUGCAGAGGCAGAAGCCGGCAAUACUGGCGAGGAUGAGAAAGGCCCAGGCAAAGUCCAACAAGUCUGGGGAAGGAAGAAAAUCAGAACACCAAGAGGCCCUCCGACUGAGCAUGGGGGGACAGGGUCCCCCAUGAGGCUGGGAGUAUUCCUGAACCCUCUCCCUUGCAAAUUUUUCUUUCUCAUUUUAAGAAAAUUGAAAUUGGGCUGUAGAGAAGGGAUAUUAAGGCAGAUGUCUUUAGCAUUGAGGGCACACCUCUGGGUCAGUGAGAACAGUGUCUUGGGCAGUGAGAAGAAGAGUGGGAAUUGAGGAACCAGUUCUGUGUGAUGAGGAAAGAUUCCUUGGGGUGAAAAAGUCUCAGGAUAAUGUGUAAGAUCCUAGGGUUAAGAGGACUGUGGGGAUGGGUAUCAUGUAAUUGAAGGUGAGCAUAGGGCAAUGGGGAUGAUCCUGGGGCAAUGAGGACCAUCUGGAGGAAGGGAUGACUAUCCGGGGGUAGUGAGAACUAUCCCAGAGAAGGGAAGACUAACCCUGGGCAGUGAAGACCAUCCUAGAGAGGGCAGAGAAGGGUCCCUGGGACAAAGAAGAGAGAUGAGUCCCAGGAAGGGUGAGUAUAGGGCAGGCCUUACAAGCAUUCUGGUCGUACUCAUGAAGGCAGGAGAUGUCAGGGCACUGCACAAAGAAGAUGGUGUUGAUGGGGAUGGUCGAGGGGCCAUCAGGAUCCCCAGGGGGUGUCAAUGGAACCUGGAAGUGGAUCCAGGGCUGGCCCAGGGUGAUGAGACCGAUGAUCACCAUGCCAGCCAGGCUCAGUGCCAGGCUCACCUGACGGCUGAUCUUCUUGGCUCCAUGCAGCAGCCGCCAGCCCAUGGGCAGCUGUGAAUAGCUGCAUUUACUCCUUCUCUGACACCUGUAGCAGAUCGCCCACCACCAGGGUCAGCACUGAGUCCAGCCACCCAGCCCAGCCACCCCAGUCCAACUGCCAGACCAGACCAUGACCCACCCAGUGUAGCCUUCAGACUAUCUUCUCUACGUCCAUUCUCCCUGGCCUGUAUCCUUCAGGUCCUGCCUCUAGAUGUUUAGCCUCUAGGCUCCCUUGCCUCCAGAUCUAACUUCCAGACCCUGCCACCCCCAAGUUCAGUUCCUAGGUUGAAUUACAGGUCCAGCCUUUAUGUUAUGCCCUACCCAGGGUCAGCCUCACUUGGGUCCAACCUCUAGUUACCAGUAGACUGGCUUUGCUUCUGGUCGCUGACCUUUGACUACUGCCCUCCCCCAGAAUCCUAGCCCAGAACCUGGCCCACUGCCUGGACCCCUGCCUCUCACCCGCCAGAAUCCAUCUCAGCAGAUCUGCUUGAUCGUAUGCUCUGGAUAUUGUUGUCUAGAGCACUUGGGUUGUAUAGGGAGCUGUCCAUAGAGUCUUUGAAACUCUCCUGGGUGGUCCAGAUGAUUGAAUCAGUGCUUUUGACACUGGCCGUGGGGCUGUGAGUAAUUGAAGGGGGGACAUCGACUUUGGCCCGGAUUGGCAAUGUGAGGCAUUGAGUACUCAAACAAGGACUCUGACUUGUUGGAAGGUGGUCUUGGCUACGGACUUGACUACUAUUGUAGUUAAGGGACUCUACAUUGUUCAGGGAGACGUGAGGAAGUAAUAGAGAGUUUUGGAUGCUGAAGUGGCGAGUUUGGAGAAUUGGUGGAACAUCUUGGGUUUUCAAACGGUGACUGUAGAUAACUGAUGGUGUAUCUUGGAUACUGAGCCGAUGACCGCUCACAGUGGAUGGCGUGUCCUCAGUACUGACCCAGCAACUGUUGAUAAUGGGUGGCGCAUCUUGGAUACUGGCCCAGCGACUGUGGACUAGUGGAGGGUCUUGGAUGCUGACCCGGCGAUUGUGGAUAAUGGACAAGGGUUCUUGGAUGCUGACCCGGUGACUGUUGAUAAUGGGUGGGGGCCCUUGGAUGCUGGUCCGGCGAUUAUGGAUAAUGAGCGGGGGCUCUUGGAUGCUGACCCGGCGAUUAUGGAUAAUGGGCGGGGGCUCUUGGAUGCUGAUCCGGCCACUGUUGAUAAUGGGCUGAGAGUCUUGGAUUCUGACCUGGGGCCUGUAAGUAAUUGGUGGAGAGACUUCGGUCUCAUUUUGAGUAUUACUGGGAGCUCCUGGAAGGAAACCUGGCUGGGUGCUCUGGGGUCCAGACUGGGGCCUCUGGGACAUGUGGGGAUGCAGCGUAAGACCAGUCCCCAGAUGCACUAAACAGUCACCAACUGCUUUUAGCCCCUCUUUCCAGGCACCUCCAUGGCCACCUGGAAGUCUGUUGGUCUCCCUCCCAGGUUCAGGCUUGGCCCUUGGCGAUUUGGAUCUCUCUGACCCUUCUUCUGUGUUCUCUGGUCUCUCCUGCUGUCCACAGGCAGGCCUCAGGGCUUCAGUCUGGCCUGCAUCUGGGGUUGGGGGGGGAGGUUCCAUGACAGUUGGAGAGAUUCCAGGCGGUUGGGACAUUGGCCAUGGACUCAUGCUCUACCCUGUCAAAGGCUCUGUACCAGGUGAUGGAGGUGCAGUGGGAAAAAGAAGAGAUCUGUUCUCUACCUUCAAGGGGGUCUGUUCGGUAAGAUGGGCAGGGAAAAAGUAGUGAGAUAAGGGAUGCCAGUGAAGGAGACUUGCGUGUUGCACUGAUAAGGGAGCACUUGGUGGGCGACCUUGCCAAGAACUGAAGUUGGGCUGGGCUGGGGGGCUCAGGAUGGGAGAUGUGGGUGGAGUGACGUGGGAGGUGAGAUCUAAAGGGUGGCCAAGGCAGUCUGGGCACAGGUGGGAGAAGGGUGCCCCAGGCAGAAGGGGCAGCCUGGACCGCUUCUUGAAUUGCUGAGGUAGGAAAGCUCGCGGUGUGAGAGGAACCCUGUGAAGUCUCGUGUGGCUGGAGGUAAGUGAGUAGUGGGAGGGACGGGAUUUCCCUGCCGGUUGGGAAGUCUGGUAGGAUCACAGGGGGCUUGGUGAACGCAGGGCACGCCACUGGCAUUUUGUUCUGCUGGCACCAUGGGUCUUGGCCUCAUGAGCACACUGUGGAACCCACGUCGCAGUUGUCCGUGUCCCGGAUGGGGAUUUGUGACAGGGGUCUAGAGAAGCGGUCGAGGUCAAGGGCAGAGAUGGAGCUGGGGUUUGGGGAACAGGGACUGGAGGAUGGGGGUGGAGACAAAACACGUAGGUUUGGGCUCCGAAUGGGGUUGUGGGCGAAGGCUGGGCUGGACGUCAGGGUUAGAGAUGGGAGUGAGGGUGCAUUUGGGAUCAGAGAUGGGGAUGAGGUUGGGAUUGGGGUCUGGGUGGAGGUGGAGACUAGGCUGCAGCAGGGUGGUGUAGGUGGAUGUGGACCCGAGGAACUCUACUUUUUCCCAGCGGACAUGGUCUCUUCCUGGGAGGAGGACCGCAAGUUCAUCCUGCGGGGCUGGUCUCUGGUCUUCAGCAUCCUCGCAGCCCUGAUGAUGCUCAGCGUGGUGGAUGGACGUCUGGCGUACUUGCAGGGCUCUUACACUGGCUACCUGGGCUUCUGGACAGACUGCAGGAAGUACAAGUGUGUCAGCCUGGGCCAAGUCACCGUUGGUGUAAGCAAGACAAACAUGGUUUCAAGUUAUGGUAAAGUCCAGAGGCAUAGAUCUAUCGAGUUCAGGUACUGCUGGAUCCAGGUGCUCAAAGCCUGUCAUUAGGGAAUCUGUCUAUGAAGGCUUCCUCUGUGUGGGGCCCUCAGGCAAGCUGUGGUAAUGGGGCAUCAGCAGCACCCAGAUUCUGUCCUUUCUGUGAACGACCGUGGGGAAAAGAGAGCAAGUUGUCUUCUGGAGCCCUCAAGCAAAGAUCUCAGGAUGAGCUCUGAUGGGAUCAGAUUUACUUCCCUGGGAUUCUCCCUCCUCCCGCACCCGCACUGAAUAGGAAGAUGUCAUGCUGCGAUUGGCUGGGUCUGGAUCACACACUUUUCUUAAGAGUCAAUGGAGGGGUCAUUUCUGUCUGAAAGCACAAGGACAGAGGGUGGGCACAGAGUUCCUCUGAACAAAGUCAAGUUGCUGUUGUCAGAAGAAUGGGAAUGGAUGCUGGGUGGACAACUUUCUUCCAUAUUUAUGAUACAUUAAUGGAGCAAAAUUAUCCUGGGGUAGACGCCCAAGGGUGGAAUAGCAGGGUUUCUAAAGGGCUGAGGAGACUUUGUAAGGCUUUGAUAUGUCAGGAUUCUCAUGACAAGCAACAGAAGCCAAUUAAACCUGGUGUAAGCAGGAAAUGGAUUUAUAAACAAUGUUGCGGGAGUUUGAAGAACUCUGUGUGGCCAGAGAAUUGGGCUCCAGGGGCCAAGUGAUCGGGAACAUGCCCAAAAAAUUCCCUGGAGGACUGGCUGGCUGGGCAUUCAUACUACAGCUUGCUCUCUAGACCUGGACUCCACUGGGGAACCUCUUUCUCGGAUGCCCUGGGACUCUGGAGGUAGCAGUGGCCACACCUACCAGAAGAGAGUCCAUACCUACCAGAAGAGAGUCCAUGCCUACCUCUGGCUGUGAAUUCCAAGUCUAGCGUGGCUCUUCUUUAUUGGUGGAUCCUGGUCACGUGCUGAGGUCUUCGCCUUAAGGGAGGCUGGUUUCCUUACUGGAAAGUGUGGAUGCAUACAUUGGGGAAAAUUCCCCAAACGUGGACUGGUUUCCAAAGGUGCUGGGAAGACAAAAAAAGAGAGUUCUUAUCCAUAUGAGCAUGGGCUUCAUGAUGCUGGCCCUGACCCUGUGUCUCAUCCUCCUCCCCUUCAUGUGCCUCUCCUUCCGGCCAGUCUUCCGACGCCUUACUAAGAUCGACCUUGUCUUCAGUUUUCUCAGCUUCAGCACUGGUAAGUGUCGGCCUGGGGGGAGGGAAGAUACCCCCAGUGUCUUGCCCCAGGACUCUCUUUUUGGCUUUGGAGAGGUGAAUCUCAAGAUUUCUGUCCUGCUGACUCUGUCUUUGAACGUCUCUUGGGAUCUCUGCCCCACUCUUUCAGCUCUAUUUUUAAAUUUCUCAGUCGGGGUGAGUCUCGGGGGCAUCUGUCUCUCCUUCCUGCUUCCCUCUUUUUCUUUCUGCUUCUCUCCGGGUGUCUUUGUGUCUGCACAGGAGUUUGUGUGCCUGUAUGCACACACACCUGCUUGUCACGGAGGGUGGGAGGGGAGAGGCUGUCUCUGUCUCUCUUCUCUUUAUGGGGGUAUCCUGGGGUUCCUGUCCAGCCUUUGUGUCCGUCUCUCCGGCUCCACCCCAGUGCAGGGUUCCUCAUCGUUCUCAGUCUGACGCUCUUUGUAGUCAACUGUGAGACGCUACUCCCGAGGCCACAGGUAUCCUACCUGGUGACCACCUACCUGUGCUGGGGCGCCGGCGCCUUGAUGCUGUUGGCCGGUGAGGG